RNAcentral lists this ribosomal RNA (504 nucleotides) under uncultured bacterium. RNAcentral describes it as "SSU rRNA". It matches the Rfam family "Bacterial small subunit ribosomal RNA", at positions 26 to 518 of the family's 1533-position model. The record is from RNAcentral.
AGGACGAACGCUGGCGGCGUGCCUAACACAUGCAAGUCGAGCGGAAAGGCCUCCUUCGGGAGGUACUCGAGCGGCGAACGGGUGAGUAACACGUGGGCAACCAACCCCUCACAUCGGGAUACCCCGGGGAAACUCGGAUCAAUACCGGAUAAUGCGCGACGCUGUUGGGCGUCGCACCAAAGGUAGCUUCGGCCUCUGGUGAGGGACGGGCCCGCGGCCCAUUAGCUUGUUGGUGGGGUAAUGGCCUACCAAGGCGACGAUGGGUAGCUGGUCUGAGAGGAUGAUCAGCCACACUGGGACUGAGAUACGGCCCAGACUCCUACGGGAGGCAGCAGUGGGGAAUAUUGCGCAAUGGGCGGAAGCCUGACGCAGCAACGCCGCGUGCGGGAGGAAGGCCUUCGGGUCGUAAACCGCUUUCAGGGGGGACGAAGCCACCAGGGUUAAUAGCCCAUGGGGUGACGGUACUCCCAGAAGAAGCCCCGGCUAACUCGUGCCAGCAGCCGC